UCUCCCUUGAGGGCACUUU
This 19-nucleotide microRNA is filed under the name Homo sapiens (human). RNAcentral describes it as "hsa-miR-4287". The record is from miRBase by way of RNAcentral. Lineage: Eukaryota; Metazoa; Chordata; Mammalia; Primates; Hominidae.